RNAcentral lists this ribosomal RNA (486 nucleotides) under uncultured bacterium. RNAcentral describes it as "bacterial SSU rRNA". It matches the Rfam family "Bacterial small subunit ribosomal RNA", at positions 28 to 494 of the family's 1533-position model. The record is from RNAcentral.
GACGAACGCUGGCGGCGUGCCUAACACAUGCAAGUCGAGCGCGAAUGGAGCAAUCCUAGUAGAGCGGCGCACGGGUGCGUAACACGUGGGUAAUCUGCCUCAAAGCUCGGGAUAACUUUCCGAAAGGUUAGCUAAUACCGGAUAAGCUCACGAAGGUCUUCGGAUCUGGUGAGAAAAUGGUGGCCUCUAUUUAUAAGCUAUCACUUUGAGAUGAGCCCGCGGCCCAUCAGCUAGUUGGCGGUGUAAGAGACCACCAAGGCAACGACGGGUAGCUGGUCUGAGAGGACGAUCAGCCACACUGGAACUGAGACACGGUCCAGACUCCUACGGGAGGCAGCAGUGGGGAAUUUUCCACAAUGGGCGAAAGCCUGAUGGAGCAAUGCCGCGUGUGUGAUGAAGGUCUUCGGAUCGUAAAGCACUUUCGACUGGGACGAAACACCCUUGGCUAACACUCAAGGGCUUGACGGUACCAGGAGAAGAAGCACC